RNAcentral lists this ribosomal RNA (472 nucleotides) under uncultured anaerobic ammonium-oxidizing bacterium. Its description in RNAcentral is "bacterial SSU rRNA". It matches the Rfam family "Bacterial small subunit ribosomal RNA", at positions 365 to 832 of the family's 1533-position model. The record is from RNAcentral.
UUCGCAAUGCCCGAAAGGGUGAUCAAGCGACGCCGCGUGCGGGAUGAAGGGCUUCGGCUUGUAAACCGCUUUUGUUUGGGAAGAAUGCCCGUAUCGUGAAUACGGGAUUGACGGUACCAGACGAAUAAGCCCCGGCUAACUCCGUGCCAGCAGCCGCGGUAAGACGGAGGGGGCAAGCGUUGUUCGGAAUUAUUGGGCGUAAAGGGCUCGUAGGCGGAUCCGCCAGUCUGACGUGGAAUCUCCACCGCUCACCGGGGAGGGGCCGCUGGAUACUACGGAUCUGGAGUUCGGCAGAGGACCAUGGAAUUUCGGGUGUAGCGGUGGAAUGCGUAGAUAUCCGAAAGAACACCGGUGGCGAAGGCGGUGGUCUGGGCCUGAACUGACGCUGAGGAGCGUAAGCCAGGGGAGCAAACGGGAUUAGAUACCCCGGUAGUCCUAGCCCUAAACGAUGGGCACUAAGUAGAGGGGUUUU